RNAcentral lists this ribosomal RNA (278 nucleotides) under uncultured bacterium. RNAcentral describes it as "partial 16S ribosomal RNA". It matches the Rfam family "Bacterial small subunit ribosomal RNA", at positions 80 to 354 of the family's 1533-position model. The record is from RNAcentral.
UACUCCCGCCGGCGACCGGCGCACGGGUGAGUAACACGUACGAAACCUGCCCGUAGCAGGGGGAUAAGCGGAAGAAAUUCCGUCUAAUACCGCGUAACAACCCGAGGAGGCAUCUCCUCGGGUUUAAAGGAAGCGAUUCCGGCUACGGAUGGUCAUGCGUCGCAUUAGCUAGUUGGCGGGGUAACGGCCCACCAAGGCGACGAUGCGUAGGGGUUCUGAGAGGAAGGUCCCCCACACUGGUACUGAGACACGGACCAAACUCCUACGGGAGGCAGCAG